CAGUCGCCGCGGGAAUACGUAGGUGGCAAGCGUUGUCCGGAAUUAUUGGGUGUAAAGGGCUCGCAGGCGGUUUCUUAAGUCUGAUGUGAAAGCCCCCGGCUCAACCGGGGAGGGUCAUUGGAAACUGGGAAACUUGAGUGCAGAAGAGGAGAGUGGAAUUCCACGUGUAGCGGUGAAAUGCGUAGAGAUGUGGAGGAACACCAGUGGCGAAGGCGACUCUCUGGUCUGUAACUGACGCUGAGGAGCGAAAGCGUGGGGAGCGAACAGGAUUAGAUACCCCGGUAGUCCCUGUCUCUUAUAC
This 301-nucleotide ribosomal RNA is filed under the name uncultured bacterium. Its description in RNAcentral is "partial 16S ribosomal RNA". It matches the Rfam family "Bacterial small subunit ribosomal RNA", at positions 509 to 807 of the family's 1533-position model. The record is from RNAcentral.